Phacochoerus africanus (Common warthog) is the source of this 1202-nucleotide long non-coding RNA. RefSeq lists it as uncharacterized. The record is from RefSeq and is a predicted model, not a curated record. The transcript has 2 exons. NCBI's taxonomy places the organism in Eukaryota, Metazoa, Chordata, Mammalia, Artiodactyla, Suidae.
UCUCUCUGAAGGAAAACGGCUCCAAGCGUGAGAUGUGUCAUGGACUGAACUGUGUUCCCUUCAGAUUCAUGUGUCGAAGUCCUAACCCAUAGUGCCUCAGAUGAUUGUGCACUCCUUGAAGUCAGAGACCAUCAGUCAAAUUGACUCAGCAAAUCCUCGUGAACCCUCUGAGUCCACCAAUGUUUCAGACAGUGCAGGUGACAUCACAGGACUCUGGGAGGCAGUGGAGCCAGGAAAGGAGAACUCCUUACACUGGGUUUCUGAGCCAACUGAUAGUCCUAAACCGAGAAGAUCAAAGGGGCUGCUGGAAUUUCACUUCUCACAGAUGUCCUCCUGCCCAGUGUUCUGAGGGAGGCACUGUCCUCCUUGGUGAUGGGGCUUUCCUCACCCUUCCAGGGGGGCCCGGUGCUCUUCUUCAUCAUCAUCAGAAUCGGUUUCAGAUGAGUCAUCAUCGUCGUCAUCAUCGUUUUCACUAAAGCCCCGCUGAGGUGUCAGCUGCGAGGUCUUCUUCUUCUCCUGAGAUAGGGCGGGGCAGGCACAGAAAGGCCCAUAUCAGGAGCAACCCAGCAUACCUGUGCCCCGUGUUCUCCCGGUGCUCUGACCACAACCUCCCACCUGGCACCAAUUCACUAGAAAGAGAAGGAAGUACCCCCAGAAGGGCUCCAAGAACCUUCUCCUGCUCCUGCUGAACUACUGACUGAGGCCCCGACUCCUCUAACAAUGGUCUACUCCUCGACUUGAGGCUUAGGUAUAGGUUUUAUCCAAUACUGAUCUAUUUUACCUAUUACUUAGGAGCUCCUGAGAACUCUGCAUAAACUUUAUCCAGUCAGCUUCAACUCUAAAACUUCGGGACUUCUGAAGAAUAAAGCAACUCUUAAAUAGUUAUUUUGGGAGGAAAUGGGGAAAGAUGAAGUGGGAAAGAUAAACUUUGGGGCCCUUGACACUCAAAAGAUCACAGAGAGGAAAUCUAGUAUUUAAUUAUUUAAUUUUAAUUUUAUUUAAUUAAUUAUUUAAUUUGCAAGACUGCCCAGGGUAAGCUGCUUGCAAUUAUCAAAAGCUCACCAUCAACCCUGUGUCUGAACUCUGAUCAGCAUUUUCAGAGUCUGUGGGUCUUCCCUUUCCAUUCAAUGCGAAUCUGACCUAUCCAUCUUAACCCCCCCUUCCCUGUAAGUUAAAUGAAAUGACUGGACGUUACAUCUGAA